RNAcentral lists this ribosomal RNA (472 nucleotides) under uncultured bacterium. RNAcentral's name for it is "partial 16S ribosomal RNA". It matches the Rfam family "Bacterial small subunit ribosomal RNA", at positions 28 to 507 of the family's 1533-position model. The record is from RNAcentral.
GACGAACGCUGGCGGCGUGCUUAACACAUGCAAGUCGAACGCUGAAGCUUGGUGCUUGCACUGGGUGGAUGAGUGGCGAACGGGUGAGUAAUACGUGAGUAACCUGCCCUUGACUCUGGGAUAAGCCUGGGAAACUGGGUCUAAUACUGGAUACGACAUGCCACUGCAUGGUGGUGUGUGGAAAGGGUUUCACUGGUUUUGGAUGGGCUCACGGCCUAUCAGCUUGUUGGUGGGGUAAUGGCCUACCAAGGCGACGACGGGUAGCCGGCCUGAGAGGGUGACCGGCCACACUGGGACUGAGACACGGCCCAGACUCCUACGGGAGGCAGCAGUGGGGAAUAUUGCACAAUGGGCGGAAGCCUGAUGCAGCGACGCCGCGUGAGGGAUGACGGCCUUCGGGUUGUAAACCUCUUUCAGCACGGAAGAAGCGAGAGUGACGGUACGUGCAGAAGAAGCGCCGGCUAACUACGUG